Molecule: long non-coding RNA, 204 nt
Filed under: Gossypium raimondii (Peruvian cotton)
Lineage: Eukaryota; Viridiplantae; Streptophyta; Magnoliopsida; Malvales; Malvaceae
Description: long non-coding RNA (GRAI_LNC001812)
Source: RNAcentral
AAUCCCCUGUAAUAUAAACUCAUAGUGUAUUGUCGGGAUUAUUAGUCCAGGCUAAAUCCCCUGCAACGACAAUUACUCUAAUGAGCUUGGAUCUGAAUUACCAGUCCAGGCUAAAUUCAGACCCUAAUUCGGAUUACCCGUCCGGGCUAAAUCUAUUUUCCACAUAUUCUUCGGGAGGGCUAUAUCAGGAUAGGAUCACCCGUC